This is a long non-coding RNA of Ictalurus punctatus (channel catfish), 1423 nucleotides long. RefSeq lists it as uncharacterized. The record is from RefSeq and is a predicted model, not a curated record. Lineage: Eukaryota; Metazoa; Chordata; Actinopteri; Siluriformes; Ictaluridae. The transcript is spliced from 3 exons.
GGCCGAGUGUAGUUUUUUUUGACUGCACUAAUAGUUCGUAAACACCACACAGGAAGUAGGAAAAGAACUACAUUUCCCAUCUGCCCUGGCUGUCACAGGCUAAUAGCACCAGCUGCUUUCCAUUGCCCUAAUGAGUGAUUCUACUGCGGCAACGAGACCAAAUACAACGAAAGUAUUGAUGCUGCAAAAGAAGACGGAUCUUUUGGUAGGCUGGUUAAUGAUUACCACAGGCACCCAAAUGGCAGAAUGCAGAAGACUGAAGUGGAUGGAAGCCCACAUCUUGGUCUGUUUGCUUUAACAGACUUUAAAGAAGGUGAUGAAAUUGCCUACAAUUACGGAGGAGGAGACUGGUCUUGGUGCAGCAAGAUUAUGGAGGAGGACACUGCUGAGAGCAAUGGCCAGGAGAAACAGCAGCCAUCACAGUCUACACCUUUUCUGGAUCAUAAAUAUCAGAAUUGUGUAGUUUGCUGGCACUUUUAAUCCUGCCUUUCAAUCACACCUCUCCAUAAUUUCCAACAUAAGCAUCCCCUGGGACUCAGUAGGUUCCCUACUGCAUCUUCUCCAAGAAAACUGAGUACUCUUAGUUACUAUUUGGUACAUAUGCACAAACUGCAGUCAGAGUUUUCAUUCUUGAGACGUGAAAUGUAAGUUCCAGUCUGUAAGUUGCCAGACAAUAAUUUCUGUCGGGUGUAAGGGUGUGUGUUUGCUAUGUAACUAAUGUUUAUUCUUACAUUUAGGUAAAACAUCUACUCUGAAAAAGAGGAAGGCUCGGGAAGGAGAUGAGGUCCAUGCAGUGGAGAGACAUAUGAAGACCUUCAUCAUGUCAUGUCGUGUCCCAGGGAAGUUGGCCUGUGAAAACUGCAUUAGAUCUGAGUCUUUAUAUCUUAAAGAUAGAGACUGGCAAAGUGUCAAAUUCUAUGUCUAUAACUGCACUGUAGCUUACAAAAGAGAUAUAAACAAAGAUUAAAUAACACUUUGAUAGUAACACUUUACAUCUAUAUUACAGAUACUGUACAUCAUAACAUCUGUAGUAAUGCUUUAAUAAUAAGUUACGUUACACCUCUAGCCUUUUACUUUGUAAUGAACCACUCAGCAUUUACUUCAUAAUAAAUUAAUCAGGAACAAAUCAGGCAUUUAAAAUAUCCAUUAGAAUCUUUACCUACACCGUUAUAUUGAAUUAGAUCAAAUUGGUUUGGGCCGCCUUCUUCCAGUGGGUCCUUAUGCAGGUGACUGACAAGUUCAUGAGUAAGCCUAUUGGGCAAUAAAAGCUUCAGUGUGCUACGAUUUACAUGUUUAGACUGCCUGGAAUCAAAAUUAGCUACCUCAACAUAUAUUAUUAAGUUGUUACUGUCACUUUUUAGCUUAGUCAGUUAAGUGGAUAUAGAAUUGUGUUUAUGACAUUUGGUUGUGUGUCUGUGUUUGG